UCUGAUUGGCCAAUUUAAAUAAAAUGAUUUUAAUUGAGAUCAAAAUGAAUAUCCAUUUGUUGAGUUAUUUGGCAGUACUCAUGUAAAAAGGAGGGUGAUUCAUUCUCUGAAAACGAAUGAGAGUGUCUUUGUGGUUGUUGUAGGGUGAGACGGGUCCUCAGGGGCCUCCUGGGCCUCCAGGAGAGGAUGGAGAAAGAGGUGAUGAUGGUGAGGUCGGACCCAGAGGUCUGCCCGGAGAAUCGGGUCCUCGUGGUUUGUUGGGCCCCAAAGGUCCCCAAGGGCCUCCAGGACCUCCCGGUGUGACUGGUAUGGACGGACAUCCUGGACCUAA
This 331-nucleotide long non-coding RNA is filed under the name Carassius auratus (goldfish). RNAcentral describes it as "lncRNA (ENSCARG00000020762.1)". The record is from RNAcentral. Lineage: Eukaryota; Metazoa; Chordata; Actinopteri; Cypriniformes; Cyprinidae.